RNAcentral lists this long non-coding RNA (7495 nucleotides) under Lactuca sativa (garden lettuce). Its description in RNAcentral is "long non-coding RNA (LSAT_LNC008328)". The record is from RNAcentral. Lineage: Eukaryota; Viridiplantae; Streptophyta; Magnoliopsida; Asterales; Asteraceae.
AGAAAAGUCCGUGGUCGUCAUCUAAACUCCGCUAGAUGACUAAACCAAACAACAACGAGGCCUCUCAUCUGUUUAUUACACACCAACUAUCUACCCAUGUUCUACCCAACAUAUUAGUAGAUAAAAAUAUACAUUUUUAUACAUAGUUUCAAAACCUGUAUAGCAUGCUCGGUCAAUACAUUUUACACAUAACAGAUGAGGCGCACACACACACAUAACACGUAUUUCAUAGAGAAAAUAAUCAUCUCUAUAAGAUAGAAGAGAGUGAACACAGAUUCAUACAUAACACAACCAAAUAUAUACACAUAGCACGUAUUUAUUUAAAAUACUUCAUAUUAUUGUAUUUGGAAGAAAAUAACUACACACUCACUUGAUCAGAAGAUGAUCCGACAGCACUACGGCUUAUAGAAGCAGUGUCUCUCCGUAGAUCUGGAAGAUCUUCACAAAAAACCGGCUCCUCGCGGGCAGGGCUUCGGCUCGGGAAUAACGCUCUUCGGGAUUCUCGGGGCUUCGGAUCUCGCUUCGGGGCUCGGGAAUAAUACCGGGGCUUCGGGGUACAAUCGGCAUGCAAAACGAGGCAAAGGACUAGAGAGAAGGAAGAAAUUUUGAAUGAGAAAUGAGCUGCCUUCGGAUCCCCUUUUAUAGUGCUGGACCCUCGCACGUACGCGGGGCAUACGCCUCGGGGGUCGUUAGCGCUUACGUCAUCGGCCCUCAUACGUCAUUGCAUAAGACUUCGGAAUACUCGAGUGCCCUUCACUGUACGCGGGGCGUACAGCAGUACGCGGCGCAUACUUCGGAUAGAUCGCCUAACCCUUCUUCGGAUGAUAUCGGAGGAUAAAUAAAAAUAAAUAUUAAAUAUUUAUUAAACUUCAAAAAUUCAUAUCUCCUUCAUACGAACUCCGUUUUCGACGUUCUUUAUAUCCACGCGAAGGUGAGACUACGCUCUACAACUUUCGUUUAGACUCCGUCGGCUAAUUUUGACUUUUAUUUUUAUUAAUUAUUUUUAGAAGGCUCGGACAGGAAAACUUCGUUAUAAAAUCAUAACUUCUUCGUCCGACGUCCGUUCUCGCCUAUCUUUGCAUCGUUUCGCUACUAAUAACGAGAUCUUCGAUUCUCAUUUAGAUUGUUUCGGCUAAAAACCACUCGAUCUCAAAUCGAGUAUUCGGGUUGCAUACGGCCAUGUCGAAACUUUAGAAAAUCAUAACUUCCUCAUACGAAGUCAGAUUUGGGCGUUCCUUUUAUGCACGCUCUCGGUUUAACGAAAUCUACGACUUUUGUUUAGAUCACUAAGGCUAAAUAUCGCUCUAUCUUAAAUUCAUAUUUUACGUCACUCGACGUCGUGCCGGUUCUGUCGCGAAACUUCGACAAGUCAUAACUUCUUCGUUAUAACUCGGAUUUUGGCAUUUCUUAUAUCUCCAGAAUCCUUGUUUCAACCACUACAACUUUAUGCAAAGAUAUCGGGCAUAUCUAAUGCUUUAAUUUUGACGCUUAUUUUUAUUCUUAAUUAAUCAAACCACAUAAUUAAGCAAUUAAGCACAAAACACAUAAUACUCAAAUAACACAAUCUUAUUAUUUUCAAAACGGGUUACAAAGGUUAACCUAGACUAUUACAUUGCUAAAAAUGGCAAGCCCAGAAACACAGGCGUUACAAUUCUCUCCACCUUAGAAUGAUUCCGUCCCCGGAAUCACACAUCAACAAACAAAUGCGGAUAGCGACUCAUCAUGUCACUCUCCGUCUCCCAGGUGAGAUUCGGCCCAUUCGUGUGUUUCCAUCGGACAAGCACUAACCCAACCAUUUUGCGUCGCAACUUCUUAGUCUUUCGGUCAACAAUUGCCUCUGGUUCUUCAAUCAACCUUUUGUUCUCAUCAAUUCUCAAUUCAGAAAUUGGAAUUAUAUCGGGAACUUCUCCCGUGAACUUCCUCAAAUAACACACAUGAAAAGUGUUGUGAAUUCCAUUCAGUUCUUCGGGUAAUUCGAGCUUGUAAGCUUGGUUCCCAAUCCUCUGAAGAACUUUAAACGGUCCAAUAAACCUUGGACUCAACUUUCCCCUUUUACCAAAUCUUAUAAGUCCCUUCCACGGCGAGACUUUAAGCAAAACCGAAUCUCCAACCUCAAAAGUCAUCGGUCUUCGCUUUUUGUCAGCAUAGCUCUUUUGACGAUCUUGAGCUGCUAACAUUCUUUCUCUAAUUAUUUUCAACUUUUCAGCAGUUUGAUGAACCAUCUCCGGUCCCAUAAACUGCUUUUCCCCAGCCUCAAGCCAACAAGACGGCGUACGACACUUCUGUCCAUACAAAGCUUGAUAAGGUGCCAUCUUAAUGCUCGAGUGAAAACUAUUAUUAUAGGAAAAUUCUACCAACGGUAAAUGUUCAUCCCAAUUACCUAGGAAUUCCAAGGUACAUGCUCUCAGCAUAUCUUCAAGUGUUUGUAUUGUUCUUUCACUCUGACCAUCAGUCUGCGGAUGGUAAGCUGUGCUUAAACAUAACUUGGUACCCAUUUCCUCUUGUAGACUUUUCCAAAACCUUGAGGUGAAACGGCUAUCACGAUCCGAUACAAUCGUUAACGGAACACCGUGAAGCCUCACAAUUUCCUUCACGUAAGAAUUCGCAAGCUUUUCCAUAGACCAUUUCUCCCUGGCCGCUAUGAAAUGCGCACUCUUAGUGAAUCGAUCAACGACCACCCAAAUCAUGUCGUGACCAUUCUUUGUUCUGGGCAGUUUAGUGACAAAAUCCAUAGCAAUGUCUUCCCACUUACCCAUAGGCACAGGCAAUGGUUCUAAACUCCCGUACGGUUUCUGAUGUUGUGUCUUGACUCUCGCACAAGUCACACACUCGGCCACAUACUUUGCAACAUCAAGCUUCAUCGUCGGCCACCAGUAGUAGGGUUUCAGGUCCCUAUACAUUUUAGUGCUACCCGGAUGAAUCGAGUACAUGGUCUUGUGAGCUUCUUCCAUCAGAAGAUCCCUAAUUCCUCCUGACUUAGGUACCCAAAUACGAUCUUGGAAUACCUUCAGUCCAUGACCGUUAGUACCAAACACCAACGUUUUACCCAAACGUUCCUCCUUUCGGUCAUUUUUCUCAGAAGCUUCCUCUUGAGCUUUCUUUAUACUUUCCACAAUGGUCGAGACAACUUCAAUUCUCAACGCUCUUGGCCUCUUCCUUUCAAGAUUGACCUUCCGACUGAGAGCAUCAGCAACAACAUUAGCUUUACCGGGGUGGUAAAGUAUCUCGCAGUCGUAGUCUUUAAGUAAUUCUAGCCAGCGUCGUUGCCUCAUAUUCAAUUCUUUCUGAUUAAAGAGGUAUUGGAGACUCUUAUGAUCAGUGAAAAGUUUGCACUUCGUGCCAUAGAGGUAAUGCCUCCAUAUUUUCAGAGCGAAAACUACCGCUGCCAACUCCAAAUCAUGAGUCGGGUAAUUCUUUUCAUGCUCUUUCAGCUGUCGAGACGCAUAUGCUAUCACCUUUUCUCUUUGGGUCAAAACACAACCCAAUCCAACACCAGACGCAUCGCUAUAAACAGCGAAGUCUUCAACUCCAUCGGGUAGAGAAAGUAUCGGUGCCUCGCAUAGCUUCUUCUUUAACUUCUCGAAUGCUUCUUUAUGCUUCUCACUCCAAGCAUAAGUAGCUCCUUUGUGGGUCAAAGCUGUUAAUGGAGUAGCAAUCGAAGAAAAGCCUUGGAUAAACCUUCGGUAAUAUCCGGCUAAUCCUAAAAAGCUUCGAAUCUCCGUGGGACUUUUCGGUUGUUCCCACUUCGUCACAGCUUCGAUCUUCGCUGGAUCAACCAUUAUCCCUUCUUGGUUGACCACGUGACCCAAGAAUUGGACUUCACGAAUCCAAAAAUCACAUUUGGAGAACUUCGCAUAAAGCUUCUCCUUCUUCAAAACUUCUAACACUUCUCGCAAGUGUCUGCCAUGCUCCUCCUGGCUUUUCGAGUAGAUCAGAAUGUCGUCUAUGAACACUAUCACGGAUUUAUCAAGGAAAGGAUUACAAACCCUAUUCAUCAAAUCCAUGAACGCUGCUGGAGCAUUGGUUAGUCCAAACGACAUAACCAAGAACUCGUAGUGUCCAUAUCUAGUUCUGAAUGCAGUCUUCUCGAUAUCUUGCUCUCUUACUUUCAGCUGAUGAUAUCCUGACCUAAGAUCGAUCUUCGAGAAAUAGCUCGAACCUUGCAAUUGAUCAAACAGGUCAUCAAUCCUCGGCAACGGAUAUCUAUUCUUUAUUGUUGCCUUGUUCAGCUCUCUGUAAUCGAUGCACAUUCUCAUACUUCCAUCUUUCUUCUUUACAAAUAACACCGGAGCUCCCCAGGGCGAUGAACUAGGUCUAAUGAAACCUUUGUCCAAUAACUCCUGAAGUUGCAUCAUUAGCUCCUUCAUCUCCGUCGGUGCUAAUCGAUAAGGUGCUUUUGCUAUUGGCGUGGUUCCUGGUAACAAGUCUAUUCUGAACUCCACUUGUCUAUCAGGUGGUAAUCCAGGAAGAUCCUCGGGAAAUACUUCCGGAUAAUCACACACCACUGGAAUGCUCUGCAUCACCUUCUUUUCUUUCUUAGCAUCAAUCACGAAUGCUAAAUAUGAUGUACAUCCCUUGGUCAAACACUUUCUGGCUUUCAUUAGAGAAAUGAUUCCAGAAUUCACUCUGCGUUUGUCCCCAUACACCAUAAACGAAUCUUUUCCAGGCGGGUUUACUUUAACUAUCUUCUUCUUGCACAAAAUUUCGGCAUCAUUGGCGCUAAGCCAAUCCAUUCCCAAGACGAUGUCGAAACCAUUUAGUUCGAUAGGCAAUAAUUCCUCGAGAAACUUAUUCCCAUUAAGGUCGAUCAAGACGUUUUUCAUACGAUGGCUAACAGGUACAAACUUGCCACUAGCUACUUCGACUAAUAAAGCAUUAUUUAGUCUAUCAACAGGCAAAGCUAGCUUUCUACCAAACUCAUGCGAAAUAAAGGAGUAGUUGGCUCCAGAAUCAAACAAUAUAUGAGCAGGUAAUUCGUUUACGAGAAAGGUACCUGAAGCGACAUCAGCUUCAUCUUUCGCAGCCUCAAGUGUCAUCUGGAAGGCUCUCGCCUUCGGCUUUGGUGGAAUGUUGGGCCUAGCUGCCUCCUUCUUCUUCGGACAGUCUUUCAAAAUAUGCCCCUCUUCAUUACAACCAAAACACAUCCUUUUGUUGUUCGGACAUUCAUUGGCAAAAUGUCCAACCUUUCCACACUUGUAGCAGGUCACAUCCUCGCUACAUUUCCCAAAGUGCUUUUUCUUACACUUAUCACACCACUUUGCUUCGCCUCCUUUUCCUCCAAACUUUUUCGAAUCAGAUUUCGAAAAUUUGCUCUUCUUACUGGAACCAGAUGUUCCUUCAAACUUCCUUUUCUCACCAACCUCAACCUUGACGGUGGUUCUCCCCUUGAUCAUGUUCUCCACAGACUUGGCAGCCCAGAUAGCUGCCUCUAGAGUAAGUGCCUGACGUACCGGCACCUCGUACUCCCAUGGAAGUCCCUUCGCAUACCGAUCCACCUUUGUCAGCUCGUCUGGAACGAUACGCAAGGCAAACUCCAUCUUAUCGGUGAAGUUAUUGGUGUAUUCAUCAACUGACAUGCUACCCUUCGUCAAUGUCAAAAACUUAUUCUCCAACUCCAACAGAUUUUGAGCCGAGCAGAACUUGCGCUUGAACUGCACCAAGAACUCUGCCCAUGACAAUUGCAGUGGCUCAUUAGGGCUUAAGGUCUUCCCUAGAGUGUUCCACCAACGAACGGCUCCACCUCGGAAUUGUCGCACGGCAUAGAUAGUCUGCAACUUACCUCUGCAGCCACAUGUCAUAAAGGCUAACUCCAUUUCGGAGAUCCAAUCCAUAACCCCAAUCGGAUCCUCCUUUCCAUUGAAGGUCGAUGGUUUGCAAGUCAAAAAGUCCUUGUACUUGCAUCCCAUUCCAUCAUUCCUUCCUUCAUGGUUAUCUUGCCUAACUAUCGGUGGGUUGGCUGGACCAACAGACCCACUGAAGUUUCCACCUUCCGAGUGCCCUUCAUUUAAUUCAGGCUCUUCCACACGAAUCGACAGUUCUUCACGAUUUUGUUGAAGCAACCGUCUAGUUUCAUCCAUCUGACGAUCCAACAUCGUCUGAAUCAUCAAUUGCACACCAGCCAUGGUUAUUGGCUCAGGUGCUGCUGCUACGACAGGUAUUGGCUCAAUCACUGGUGGUUGAUUCCUGUUUUCGUCAGCAUUUCCAACUCCACUUCUUGUUCUCACCAUUUUGAUCUACACCCCGAAUAAGGUGAAAUUAGAUCCUCAAUCAUGAUAGAUAUUCAAAUCAUCCUUAUCACUCCGAAACGUUUACAUGCUAGUUCUAAUAUCGUAGACGUACGCUUAGAAUCCUACACACAUAAGGUUUCUAGAUCCGGUCGGCAACAGACCAUAGAUCCGAACAAAUAAUAUCAUAUAUGGCAACAUAUAACAUUUAGCACAUAAAGCAUUUUAGGCAACUUUCCUAAAAUAAACUAGUGCUCGUGUCUAAAACACAACAGACACACAUCUCAAAACUUCACUUAGCAUUCUAAGUUUAAGUCUAGAAAUCCUACAAAUUCCUAGUUCGCUUAAACUAAUGCUCUGAUACCAACUGUGACAUCCCCAAAAUCUCGGCCAGAAAAGACCGAUUUUCAUUUAUGCUUUUAAAUAUUUUCAGAGUAAAUCCUUUUGAUUUGAAAGAGUUGCGGAAUUUGUUCCCAAAAACAAAACAUGAUAAAACAUUGUUUACCGAAGCAUUUCAUAAAAGAAAUGUAUUUUCAUUAUAAUCAAAACUCGGGGUGUCAUGUUCCGAUACAGACCAAUAAGCAUAAACGAAUACAUUACAAGUCAUAUAACAAAUAUAAACAUAUGCAGACUUGUAAACAAAACAACUUGAUGGUUCAUCCAUCUCAUGCCCUUCCGCCACUACCUGUAAUACAAUUUAAAACUGAGUGGGUCAGGCUUGGGAGCCUGGUGAGCAUAUAGGGUUUUCAACCCACAAUAAAUAUCAUAUUUAAUUUUCACCAACCAACAAUAACCCAAUUACCCAUUCCCGUUAUUCUCACUUUAAUGUCCCUAAAACAACUAACAUAAGGGACCUAGUCUAAGAAUAUUUCAUCGGGGCGACAACACAUGCUUCGGGGGUACCUCAGCAAUAUAAGUCAAAUAAGGCAACCAUGAGGGGGAUGGAGUACAGCGAAUGAACACCCAAGUUCAUUAACACCUACAGGUGGCGAACCUGCUAAUGUUUCCACAAGACUGUCUAGAAUAGCCAGUGGUCGUCAUCUAAACUCCGCUAGAUGACUAAAUCAAACAACAACGAGGCCUCUCAUCUGUUUAUUACACACCAACUAUCUACCCAUGUUCUACCCAACAUAUUAGUAGAAAAAAAAUACAUUUUUAUACAUAGUUUCAAAACCUGUAUAGCAUGCUCGAUCAAUACAUUUUCCACAUAACAGAUGAGGCACACACACACAUAACACGUAUUUCAUAGAGAAAAUAAUCAUAUCUAUAAG